Molecule: ribosomal RNA, 402 nt
Filed under: uncultured bacterium
Lineage: Bacteria
Description: bacterial SSU rRNA
Rfam family: Bacterial small subunit ribosomal RNA
Source: RNAcentral
UGGGGAAUCUUGCACAAUGGGGGCAACCCUGAUGCAGCGACGCCGCGUGAGCGAUGAAGCCCUUCGGGACGUAAAGCUCUUUCGACCGGAACGAUAAUGACGGUACCGGGAGAAGAAGCUGCGGCUAACUACGUGCCAGCAGCCGCGGUAAUACGUAGGCAGCAAGCGUUGUUCGGAGUUACUGGGCGGAAAGAGUGCGUAGGCGGUUUUCUAAGUUCGGUGUGAAAUCUCCCGGCUUAACUGGGAGGGUGCGCCGAAGACUGGGAAGCUGGAGUGUGGGAAAGGCAGGCGGAAUUCCUGGUGUAGCGGUGAAAUGCGUAGAUAUCAGGAGGAACACCGGCGGUGUAGACGGCUUGCUAGACCAUAACUGACGCUGAGGCACGAAAGCGUGGGUAGCAAACA